CCUACGGGUGGCAGCAGUGAGGAAUAUUGGUCAAUGGACGAGAGUCUGAACCAGCCAAGUAGCGUGAAGGAUGACUGCCCUAUGGGUUGUAAACUUCUUUUAUAUGGGAAUAAAAUGUUCCACGUGUGGGAUUUUGUAUGUACCAUAUGAAUAAGGAUCGGCUAACUCCGUGCCAGCAGCCGCGGUAAUACGGAGGAUCCGAGCGUUAUCCGGAUUUAUUGGGGUUAAAGGGAGCGUAGGUGGAUUGUUAAGUCAGUUGUGAAAGUUUGCGGCUCAACCGUAAAAUUGCAGUUGAAACUGGCAGUCGUGAGUACAGUAGGGGUGGGCGGAAGUCGUGGUGUAGCGGUGAAAUGCUUAGAUAUCACGAAGAACUCCGAUUGCGAAGGCAGCUCACUGGACUGCAACUGACACUGAGGCUCGAAAGUGUGGGUAUCAAACAGGAUUAGAUACCCCAGUAGUC
This 460-nucleotide ribosomal RNA is filed under the name uncultured bacterium. RNAcentral's name for it is "partial 16S ribosomal RNA". It matches the Rfam family "Bacterial small subunit ribosomal RNA", at positions 338 to 795 of the family's 1533-position model. The record is from RNAcentral.